RNAcentral lists this ribosomal RNA (490 nucleotides) under uncultured bacterium. RNAcentral describes it as "partial 16S ribosomal RNA". It matches the Rfam family "Bacterial small subunit ribosomal RNA", at positions 28 to 507 of the family's 1533-position model. The record is from RNAcentral.
GAUGAACGCUAGCUACAGGCUUAACACAUGCAAGUCGCGGGGCAGCAUGGGGGUUGCUUGCAAUCCCCGAUGGCGACCGGCGCACGGGUGAGUAACGCGUAUCCAACCUGCCCUUCACCACGGGAUAACCCGGCGAAAGUCGGACUAAUACCGUAUGUUGUCCAUUGACGGCAUCCGAUUUGGACGAAAGGUUUGGCGGUGAAGGAUGGGGAUGCGUCCGAUUAGCUGGACGGCGGGGUGACGGCCCACCGUGGCGACGAUCGGUAGGGGUUCUGAGAGGAAGGUCCCCCACACUGGAACUGAGACACGGUCCAGACUCCUACGGGAGGCAGCAGUGAGGAAUAUUGGUCAAUGGGCGUAAGCCUGAACCAGCCAAGUAGCGUGCAGGAUGACGGCCCUAUGGGUUGUAAACUGCUUUUAUGCGGGGAUAAAGUGGCCCACGUGUGGGUUUUUGCAGGUACCGCAUGAAUAAGGACCGGCUAAUUCCAUG